This 253-nucleotide ribosomal RNA is filed under the name uncultured bacterium. RNAcentral's name for it is "partial 16S ribosomal RNA". It matches the Rfam family "Bacterial small subunit ribosomal RNA", at positions 524 to 776 of the family's 1533-position model. The record is from RNAcentral.
UACGGGGGGGGCGAGCGUUGUUCGGAAUCACUGGGCGUAAAGCGCACGUAGGCGGAUUUGUCAGUCAGGGGUGAAAUCCCGGGGCUCAACCUCGGAACUGCCUUUGAUACAGCAAGUCUUGAGUUCGAGAGAGGUGGGUGGAAUUCCUAGUGUAGAGGUGAAAUUCGUAGAUAUUAGGAAGAACACCGGUGGCGAAGGCGGCCCACUGGCUCGAUACUGACGCUGAGGUGCGAAAGCGUGGGGAGCAAACAGG